UACGAAGGUGGCGAGCGUUGUUCGGAUUUACUGGGCGUAAAGGGAGCGUAGGCGGCAUUGUAUGUCGGAUGUGAAAGCCCACGGCUCAACCGUGGAAAUGCAUUCGAAACUGCAGUGCUAGAGUAUUGGAGAGGUAAGCGGAAUUCUAGGUGUAGCGGUGAAAUGCGUAGAUAUCUAGAGGAACACCAGCGGCGAAGGCGGCUUACUGGACAAAUACUGACGCUGAGGCUCGAAAGCCGGGGGAGCGAAGAGG
RNAcentral lists this ribosomal RNA (253 nucleotides) under uncultured bacterium. RNAcentral describes it as "partial 16S ribosomal RNA". It matches the Rfam family "Bacterial small subunit ribosomal RNA", at positions 524 to 776 of the family's 1533-position model. The record is from RNAcentral.